GACCUUCGGGAGCCUAUACAGGUGUUGCAUGGCUGUCGUCAGCUCGUGUCGUGAGAUGUCGGUUAAGUCCGCUAACGAGCGCAACCCUCGUCGUAUGUUAUAUGUGUCAUACGAGACUGCCGGUAAAAAGCCGGAGGAAGGUGAGGAUGAUGUCAAGUCAGCAUGACCUUUAUAUCCAGGGCUACACACACGCUACAAUGGUCUGUACAAUGGGUAGCCAAGCCGCGAGGCGGAGCCAAUCCUGAAAGCAGGCCUCAGUUCAGAUUGCAGUCUGCAACUCGACUGCAUGAAGCCGGAGUUGCUAGUAACCGCAGGUCAGCAAUACUGCGGUGAAUACGUUCCCGGGUCUU
RNAcentral lists this ribosomal RNA (350 nucleotides) under uncultured Anaerolineaceae bacterium. RNAcentral describes it as "bacterial SSU rRNA". It matches the Rfam family "Bacterial small subunit ribosomal RNA", at positions 1013 to 1382 of the family's 1533-position model. The record is from RNAcentral. Lineage: Bacteria; Bacillati; Chloroflexota; Anaerolineae; Anaerolineales; Anaerolineaceae.